UUAGGUUGGUGCAAAAGUAAUUGCGGUUUGGGCCUUUAUUUUCAAUGGCAAAAACCUCAAUUGCUUUUGUGCCAACCUAAUACUU
RNAcentral lists this microRNA precursor (85 nucleotides) under Colobus angolensis palliatus. Its description in RNAcentral is "miRNA (ENSCANG00000037794.1)". Lineage: Eukaryota; Metazoa; Chordata; Mammalia; Primates; Cercopithecidae. The record is from RNAcentral.